UCCGCGCUGGCGAAACACAAACUCACGCAUAGCGAUGAGCGGAAGUACGUCUGCAUCACGUGCGCGAAAGCUUUCAAAAGACAGGACCAUCUCAAUGGCCACAUGCUGACCCACCGCAACAAGAAGCCGUACGAGUGCAAGGCAGACGGCUGCGGCAAGUCGUACUGCGACGCGCGCUCGCUGCGCCGGCACACCGAGAACCACCACCAGCCGCCGGCAGAGAACAGUUCAUCCAGCAGCAGCAGUGCGACCGCUCACGCCACCGAGAAGGAAUCCACCACGCAGCGGGUGGCGUCACCACCGUCGCCUGCGCAGAGA
Ostrinia nubilalis (European corn borer) is the source of this 318-nucleotide long non-coding RNA. RefSeq lists it as uncharacterized. NCBI's taxonomy places the organism in Eukaryota, Metazoa, Arthropoda, Insecta, Lepidoptera, Crambidae. The transcript has 3 exons. The record is from RefSeq and is a predicted model, not a curated record.